RNAcentral lists this ribosomal RNA (270 nucleotides) under uncultured archaeon. RNAcentral's name for it is "partial 16S ribosomal RNA". It matches the Rfam family "Archaeal small subunit ribosomal RNA", at positions 477 to 747 of the family's 1478-position model. The record is from RNAcentral.
CAGCUCUUCGAGUGGUGUCCAUGAUUAUUGGGCCUAAAGCAUCCGUAGCCGGCGCUGUAAGUUUUCGGUUAAAUCUGUACGCUCAACGUACAGGCUGCCGGGAAUACUGCAGCGCUAGGGAGUGGGAGAGGUAGACGGUACUCGGUAGGAAGGGGUAAAAUCCUUUGAUCUAUUGAUGACCACCUGUGGCGAAGGCGGUCUACCAGAACACGUCCGACGGUGAGGGAUGAAAGCUGGGGGAGCAAACCGGAUUAGAUACCCGCGUAGUCC